AGCUUUGAUGAAGCUGAUUAGCAUCGGUCUUGUAAACCGAAGACUAGAGUAUACCCUCUCCAGAGCUAC
RNAcentral lists this transfer RNA (69 nucleotides) under Lamprotula cornuumlunae. RNAcentral's name for it is "tRNA-Thr". Lineage: Eukaryota; Metazoa; Mollusca; Bivalvia; Unionida; Unionidae. The record is from RNAcentral.